GUCCGAGGUAGGGCGCCGGUUGUGAGC
Molecule: small RNA, 27 nt
Filed under: Bombyx mori (domestic silkworm)
Lineage: Eukaryota; Metazoa; Arthropoda; Insecta; Lepidoptera; Bombycidae
Description: ovarian small RNA-5492
Source: RNAcentral